GAGGGUAUAGCUUAAGUGCUAAAGCACAUGCUUAGCAUGCACAAGAUCCUGGGUUCAUUCCCCAGUACCUACU
RNAcentral lists this transfer RNA (73 nucleotides) under Camelus bactrianus (Bactrian camel). It matches the Rfam family "tRNA". From Rfam's summary of the family: Transfer RNA (tRNA) molecules are approximately 80 nucleotides in length. The record is from Rfam by way of RNAcentral. Lineage: Eukaryota; Metazoa; Chordata; Mammalia; Artiodactyla; Camelidae. RNAcentral also lists the same sequence under 1 other name.